Molecule: ribosomal RNA, 253 nt
Filed under: uncultured bacterium
Lineage: Bacteria
Description: partial 16S ribosomal RNA
Rfam family: Bacterial small subunit ribosomal RNA
Source: RNAcentral
UACAGAGGUGGCAAGCGUUGUUCGGAAUUAUUGGGCGUAAAGAGCGUGUAGGCGGUUUGGUAGGUCCGCUGUGAAAACUCGAGGCUCAACCUCGAGACGCCGGUGGAAACCAUCAGGCUAGAGUCCGGAAGAGGAGAGUGGAAUUCCUGGUGUAGCGGUGAAAUGCGCAGAUAUCAGGAAGAACACCCGUGGCUAAGGCGGCUCUCUAGUACGGUACUGACGCUGAGACGCGAAAGCGUGGGGAGCGAACAGG